RNAcentral lists this ribosomal RNA (917 nucleotides) under uncultured Bacillota bacterium. RNAcentral's name for it is "bacterial SSU rRNA". It matches the Rfam family "Bacterial small subunit ribosomal RNA", at positions 1 to 917 of the family's 1533-position model. The record is from RNAcentral. Lineage: Bacteria; Bacillati; Bacillota.
UUCCAGACUUUGAUCAUGGCUCAGGACGAACGCUGGCGGCGUGCCUAACACAUGCAAGUCGAGCGGAGAUCAUUGGCGGAAGUUUUCGGAUGGAAGCGAAUGAUUUUAGCGGCGGACGGGUGAGUAACGCGUGAGCAACCUUUCCUUCACAGGGGGGAUAACGCACCGAAAGGUGCACUAAUACCGCAUGAGACCACAGAGUCACAUGACUUAGGGGUCAAAGGAGCAAUCCGGUGAAGGGUGGGCUCGCGUCUGAUUAGAUAGUUGGUGAGGUAACGGCCCACCAAGUCAACGAUCAGUAGCCGACCUGAGAGGGUGAUCGGCCACAUUGGGACUGAGACACGGCCCAAACUCCUACGGGAGGCAGCAGUGGGGAAUAUUGGGCAAUGGGCGAAAGCCUGACCCAGCAACGCCGCGUGGAGGAAGAAGGUUUUCGGAUCGUAAACUCCUGUCCUAAGAGACGAGGAAGAGACGGUAUCUUAGGAGGAAGCCCCGGCUAACUACGUGCCAGCAGCCGCGGUAAUACGUAGGGGGCAAGCGUUGUCCGGAAUGAUUGGGCGUAAAGGGCGCGUAGGCGGCCCGGUAAGUCUGGAGUGAAAGUCCUGGCUUUAAGUUGGGAAUUGCUUUGGAUACUGUCGGGCUUGAGUGCAGGAGAGGUUAGUGGAAUUCCCAGUGUAGCGGUGAAAUGCGUAGAGAUUGGGAGGAACACCAGUGGCGAAGGCGACUAACUGGACUGUAACUGACGCUGAGGCGCGAAAGUGUGGGGAGCAAACAGGAUUAGAUACCCUGGUAGUCCACACUGUAAACGAUGAAUGCUAGGUGUAGGGGGUAUCGACCCCUUCUGUGCCGGAGUUAACACAAUAGCAUUCCGCCUGGGGAGUACGGCCGCAAGGUUGCAACUCAAAUGAAUUGACGGA